This 257-nucleotide long non-coding RNA is filed under the name Elaeis guineensis (African oil palm). Its description in RNAcentral is "long non-coding RNA (EGUI_LNC059650)". The record is from RNAcentral. Lineage: Eukaryota; Viridiplantae; Streptophyta; Magnoliopsida; Arecales; Arecaceae.
UCGAACUCCUACAAGGGCUGGACUCCGAGCUUCUACUGCAAGCGAUCUACUCCGAGCUUCUACUGUGAGUGAUCUACUCCGAGCUUCUACUGCAAGCGAUCUACUCCGAGCUUCUACUGCAAGUGAUCUACUCUGAGCUUCUACUGCAAGCAAUCUACUCCGAGCUUCUACUGCAAGCUUCGGCUGAGCUUCCUCGACAAAUGAUCCCCAUCCGGGCUUCUAUAGAAAUCGGACUCCGAUCGAACUUCUAUAGCGGA